This 781-nucleotide ribosomal RNA is filed under the name Brevibacterium sediminis. Its description in RNAcentral is "bacterial SSU rRNA". It matches the Rfam family "Bacterial small subunit ribosomal RNA", at positions 71 to 863 of the family's 1533-position model. The record is from RNAcentral. Lineage: Bacteria; Bacillati; Actinomycetota; Actinomycetes; Micrococcales; Brevibacteriaceae.
GCCGACAGCUUGCUGUUGGUGGAUGAGUGGCGAACGGGUGAGUAACACGUGAGUAACCUGCCCCUGAUUUCGGGAUAAGCCUGGGAAACUGGGUCUAAUACCGGAUACGACCAACCCUCGCAUGAGGGUUGGUGGAAAGUUUUUCGAUCGGGGAUGGGCUCGCGGCCUAUCAGCUUGUUGGUGGGGUAAUGGCCCACCAAGGCGACGACGGGUAGCCGGCCUGAGAGGGCGACCGGCCACACUGGGACUGAGACACGGCCCAGACUCCUACGGGAGGCAGCAGUGGGGAAUAUUGCACAAUGGGGGAAACCCUGAUGCAGCGACGCAGCGUGCGGGAUGACGGCCUUCGGGUUGUAAACCGCUUUCAGCAGGGAAGAAGCGAAAGUGACGGUACCUGCAGAAGAAGUACCGGCUAACUACGUGCCAGCAGCCGCGGUAAUACGUAGGGUACGAGCGUUGUCCGGAAUUAUUGGGCGUAAAGAGCUCGUAGGUGGUUGGUCACGUCUGCUGUGGAAACGCAACGCUUAACGUUGCGCGUGCAGUGGGUACGGGCUGACUAGAGUGCAGUAGGGGAGUCUGGAAUUCCUGGUGUAGCGGUGAAAUGCGCAGAUAUCAGGAGGAACACCGGUGGCGAAGGCGGGACUCUGGGCUGUAACUGACACUGAGGAGCGAAAGCAUGGGGAGCGAACAGGAUUAGAUACCCUGGUAGUCCAUGCCGUAAACGUUGGGCACUAGGUGUGGGGGACAUUCCACGUUCUCCGCGCCGUAGCUAACGCAUUAA